Molecule: ribosomal RNA, 492 nt
Filed under: uncultured bacterium
Lineage: Bacteria
Description: partial 16S ribosomal RNA
Rfam family: Bacterial small subunit ribosomal RNA
Source: RNAcentral
AGUGAACGCUGGCGGUAGGCCUAACACAUGCAAGUCGAACGGCAGCACAGUAAGAGCUUGCUCUUACGGGUGGCGAGUGGCGGACGGGUGAGGAAUACAUCGGAAUCUACUUUUUCGUGGAGGAUAACGUAGGGAAACUUACGCUAAUACCGCAUACGACCUACGGGUGAAAGCAGGGGAUCUUCGGACCUUGCGCGAUUGAAUGAGCCGAUGUCGGAUUAGCUAGUUGGCGGGGUAAAGGCCCACCAAGGCGACGAUCCGUAGCUGGUCUGAGAGGAUGAUCAGCCACACUGGAACUGAGACACGGUCCAGACUCCUACGGGAGGCAGCAGUGGGGAAUAUUGGACAAUGGGCGCAAGCCUGAUCCAGCCAUACCGCGUGGGUGAAGAAGGCCUUCGGGUUGUAAAGCCCUUUUGUUGGGAAAGAAAAGCAGCAGGUUAAUACCCCGCUGUUCUGACGGUACCCAAAGAAUAAGCACCGGCUAACUUCGGG